UUGCCCUAGUAACGGCGAGUGAAGCGGCAACAGCUCAAAUUUGAAAUCUGGCGCAAGCCCGAGUUGUAAUUUGUAGAGGAUGCUUCUGGGUAGCGGCCGGUCUAAGUUCCUUGGAACAGGACGUCAUAGAGGGUGAGAAUCCCGUAUGUGACUGGCUUGCACCCUCCACGUAGCUCCUUCGACGAGUCGAGUUGUUUGGGAAUGCAGCUCUAAAUGGGAGGUAAAUUUCUUCUAAAGCUAAAUACCGGCCAGAGACCGAUAGCGCACAAGUAGAGUGAUCGAAAGAUGAAAAGCACUUUGGAAAGAGAGUUAAAAAGCACGUGAAAUUGUUGAAAGGGAAGCGCCCGCAACCAGACUUUGCGGCAGUGUUCGGCUGGUCUUCUGAC
This 386-nucleotide ribosomal RNA is filed under the name Pseudocercospora cappadocici. Its description in RNAcentral is "Pseudocercospora sp. SKV-2020b partial large subunit ribosomal RNA". It matches the Rfam family "Eukaryotic large subunit ribosomal RNA", at positions 75 to 464 of the family's 3401-position model. The record is from RNAcentral. Lineage: Eukaryota; Fungi; Ascomycota; Dothideomycetes; Mycosphaerellales; Mycosphaerellaceae.